UACGAAGGUGGCGAGCGUUGUUCGGAAUCACUGGGCAUAAAGGGCGCGUAGGCGGUGCCGUAAGCGGCGGGUGAAAUUCCAGGGCUCAACCCUGGAACUGCACGCCGGACUGCGGUGCUUGAGUGCGGGAGGGGGGUGUGGAACUCUAGGUGGAGCGGUGAAAUGCGUAGAUAUCUAGAGGAACACCGGUGGCGAAAGCGACACCCUGGUCCGCAACUGACGCUGAGGCGCGAAAGCGUGGGUAGCAAACAGG
Molecule: ribosomal RNA, 253 nt
Filed under: uncultured bacterium
Lineage: Bacteria
Description: partial 16S ribosomal RNA
Rfam family: Bacterial small subunit ribosomal RNA
Source: RNAcentral